RNAcentral lists this ribosomal RNA (405 nucleotides) under uncultured Anaerolineae bacterium. Its description in RNAcentral is "bacterial SSU rRNA". It matches the Rfam family "Bacterial small subunit ribosomal RNA", at positions 355 to 776 of the family's 1533-position model. Lineage: Bacteria; Bacillati; Chloroflexota; Anaerolineae. The record is from RNAcentral.
UAGGGAAUAUUGCACAAUGGGCGAAAGCCUGAUGCAGCAACGCCGCGUGUGCGAUGAAGGCCUUCGGGUCGUAAAGCACUUUUCUGAGAGAUGAGAAAGGACAGUAUCUCAGGAAUAAGUCUCGGCUAACUACGUGCCAGCAGCCGCGGUAACACGUAGGAGGCGAGCGUUAUCCGGAUUCACUGGGCGUAAAGCGCGUGCAGGCGGUUUGGUAAGUUGAUCGUGAAAGCUCCCGGCUCAACUGGGAGAGGUCGUUCAAUACUACCAAACUAGAGAGUAGAAGAGGAAGAUGGAAUUCCCGGUGUAGUGGUGAAAUGCGUAGAUAUCGGGAGGAACACCAGUGGCGAAGGCGAUCUUCUGGUCUAUUUCUGACGCUCAGACGCGACAGCUAGGGUAGUAAACGGG